GUCGACGCGUUGGCCCAAUUGAUUGAUGGUGCUUGCACCUGAUUGAUUUUGGUCGCCAACGAGUGGCGGACGGGUGAGUAACACGUAGGUAACCUGCCCAGAAGCGGGGGACAACAUUUGGAAACAGAUGCUAAUACCGCAUAACAGCGUUGUUCGCAUGAACAACGCUUAAAAGAUGGCUUCUCGCUAUCACUUCUGGAUGGACCUGCGGUGCAUUAGCUUGUUGGUGGGGUAACGGCCUACCAAGGCGAUGAUGCAUAGCCGAGUUGAGAGACUGAUCGGCCACAAUGGGACUGAGACACGGCCCAUACUCCUACGGGAGGCAGCAGUAGGGAAUCUUCCACAAUGGGCGCAAGCCUGAUGGAGCAACACCGCGUGAGUGAAGAAGGGUUUCGGCUCGUAAAGCUCUGUUGUUAAAGAAGAACACGUAUGAGAGUAACUGUUCAUACGUUGACGGUAUUUAACCAGAAAGUCACGGCUAACUACGUGCCAGCAGCCGCGGUAAUACGUAGGUGGCAAGCGUUAUCCGGAUUUAUUGGGCGUAAAGAGAGUGCAGGCGGUUUUCUAAGUCUGAUGUGAAAGCCUUCGGCUUAACCGGAGAAGUGCAUCGGAAACUGGAUAACUUGAGUGCAGAAGAGGGUAGUGGAACUCCAUGUGUAGCGGUGGAAUGCGUAGAUAUAUGGAAGAACACCAGUGGCGAAAGCGGCUACCUGGUCUGCAACUGACGCUGAGACUCGAAAGCAUGGGUAGCGAACAGGAUUAGAUACCCUGGUAGUGCAUGCCGUAAACGAUGAGUGCCUAGGUGUUGGAGGGUUUCCGCCCUUCAGUGCCGGAGCUAACGCAUUAAGCACUCCGCCUGGGGAGUACGACCGCAAGGUUGAAACUCAAAGGAAUUGACGGGGGCCCGCACAAGCGGUGGAGCAUGUGGUUUAAUUCGAAGCUACGCGAAGAACCUUACCAGGUCUUGACAUCUUGCGCCAACCCUAGAGAUAGGGCGUUUCCUUCGGGAACGCAAUGACAGGUGGUGCAUGGUCGUCGUCAGCUCGUGUCGUGAGAUGUUGGGUUAAGUCCCGCAACGAGCGCAACCCUUGUUACUAGUUGCCAGCAUUAAGUUGGGCACUCUAGUGAGACUGCCGGUGACAAACCGGAGGAAGGUGGGGACGACGUCAGAUCAUCAUGCCCCUUAUGACCUGGGCUACACACGUGCUACAAUGGACGGUACAACGAGUCGCGAACUCGCGAGGGCAAGCAAAUCUCUUAAAACCGUUCUCAGUUCGGACUGCAGGCUGCAACUCGCCUGCACGAAGUCGGAAUCGCUAGUAAUCGCGGAUCAGCAUGCCGCGGUGAAUACGUUCCCGGGCCUUGUACACACCGCCCGUCACACCAUGAGAGUUUGUAACACCCAAAGUCGGUGGGGUAACCUUUUAGGAGCCAGCCGCCUAAGGUGGGACAGAUGA
This 1457-nucleotide ribosomal RNA is filed under the name Limosilactobacillus fermentum. RNAcentral describes it as "bacterial SSU rRNA". It matches the Rfam family "Bacterial small subunit ribosomal RNA". Lineage: Bacteria; Bacillati; Bacillota; Bacilli; Lactobacillales; Lactobacillaceae. The record is from RNAcentral.